UCUAUCACAGGCCCCUAACUCAUCUCCAUCUCCCACCGGACUGUUUCCAUGGCUUCCCAUCAUCCCGAAACUACCAAACCUUCCGGGACUUCCUAACAUUCCAAAAUUCCCUAACAUCCCAGGCCUCCCUCCCCUCCCGGGACUCCCUCGCCUACCAGACCUCCCUCCCCUCCCUCCCCUCCCGGGCCUCCCUAGCCUACCUGGACUGCCUCCUCUACCGCCAUACUAGUCACUAAUCAGUAGUUAUGUCAGACGAAAUGGAGUAGUGGUUGAUCAAAGCUGUGCCGUCCCCGAUAUUUUAAUGGCUUAAAGCAUUAGAAAAUGUGGCCUUCUUAUAAUAAAAUAAAAUUUAACAUAUUAUUUAAAAUUAGAAAUGAAAAAAACUAUAAUAUAUCAAUACAAUUUUAUUUCUGAAAAACAGAUCUUGUAGCUUUUCUUCCAGAAAAUAUGUUUAUAAUCUUUUCGUAGCCAAGUUUAUCAAACUUUCAAUAGAUAUCAUUGAUAACCCAUUAAACCUCUCUUGUGACAUGGUAGAUCGUAGAUAAUUUUCUUUCAAUUUCAAUAUGGAAAAAAUAUUUCCGCAGUGGCAACAUAACCCCGGUUUGUAAACAAUAUUCGUUAAGCAAUCCAUGAAUAAUCCAG
This 642-nucleotide long non-coding RNA is filed under the name Brassica napus (rape). RNAcentral describes it as "long non-coding RNA (BNAP_LNC004374)". Lineage: Eukaryota; Viridiplantae; Streptophyta; Magnoliopsida; Brassicales; Brassicaceae. The record is from RNAcentral.